Molecule: ribosomal RNA, 253 nt
Filed under: uncultured bacterium
Lineage: Bacteria
Description: partial 16S ribosomal RNA
Rfam family: Bacterial small subunit ribosomal RNA
Source: RNAcentral
UACGUAGGCAGCAAGCGUUGUUCGGAAUUACUGGGCGUAAAGGGCGCGUAGGCGGCCUGCUAAGUCGAACGUGAAAUCCCUGGGCUCAACCCAGGAACUGCGUCCGAUACUGGUUGGCUUGAAUCCGGGAGAGGGAUGUGGAAUUCCAGGUGUAGCGGUGAAAUGCGUAGAUAUCUGGAGGAACACCGGUGGCGAAGGCGACAUCCUGGACCGGUAUUGACGCUGAGGCGCGAAAGCCAGGGGAGCAAACGGG